UACGGGGGGGGCAAGCGUUGUUCGGAAUUACUGGGCGUAAAGGGCGCGUAGGCGGUUCGUUAAGUCCUGUGUGAAAUCCCCCGGCUCAACCGGGGAACUGCAUCCGAUACUGGCGGGCUUGAAUCCGGGAGAGGGGUGUGGAAUUCCAGGUGUAGCGGUGAAAUGCGUAGAUAUCUGGAGGAACACCGGUGGCGAAGGCGGCAUCCUGGACCGGUAUUGACGCUGAGGCGCGAAAGCUAGGGGAGCAAACGGG
Molecule: ribosomal RNA, 253 nt
Filed under: uncultured bacterium
Lineage: Bacteria
Description: partial 16S ribosomal RNA
Rfam family: Bacterial small subunit ribosomal RNA
Source: RNAcentral